RNAcentral lists this ribosomal RNA (642 nucleotides) under uncultured marine eukaryote. Its description in RNAcentral is "SSU rRNA". It matches the Rfam family "Eukaryotic small subunit ribosomal RNA", at positions 617 to 1262 of the family's 1831-position model. The record is from RNAcentral.
GGUUAAAAAGCUCGUAGUUGGAUUUCUGUUGAGGAUGACCGUUCCGCUCUUUGAGCGCGUAUCUGGUUCAGCCUUGGCAUCCUCUUGGGGAACGCUACUGUGCUUGAUUGCAUGGGGCGGUAUUCAAGACUUUUACUUUGAGGAAAUUAGAGUGUUCACUGCAAGCGUUAGCAAUUGAAUACAUUAGCAUGGAAUAAUAAUAUAGGACCUUGGUACUAUUUUGUUGGUUUCUAGAACUAAGGUAAUGAUUAAUAGGGACAAUUGGGGGCAUUCGUAUUAACGCGUCAGAGGUGGAAUUCUUAGAUUGCGUUACGACGAACUACUGCGAAAGCAUUUGCCAAGGAUGUUUUCAUUGAUCAAGAACGAAAGUAUGGGGAUCGAAGACGCUUAGAUACCGUCGUAGUCUAUACCAUAAACUAUGCCAACUAGAGAUUGGAGGUCGUUCUCUUUAUGACUCCUUCAGCACCUUAUGAGAAAUCAAAGUCUUUGGGUUCCGGGGGGAGUAUGGUCGCAAGGCUGAAACUUAAAGGAAUUGACGGAAGGGCACCACCACGAGUGGAGCCUGCGGCUUAAUUUGACUCAACACGGGAAAACUUACCACGUCCAGACAUAGUAAAGAUUGACAGAUUGAUAGCUCUUUCU